RNAcentral lists this ribosomal RNA (483 nucleotides) under uncultured bacterium. Its description in RNAcentral is "partial 16S ribosomal RNA". It matches the Rfam family "Bacterial small subunit ribosomal RNA", at positions 30 to 506 of the family's 1533-position model. The record is from RNAcentral.
AUUGAACGCUGGCGGCAUGCUUUACACAUGCAAGUCGAACGGCAGCACGGGCUUCGGCCUGGUGGCGAGUGGCGAACGGGUGAGUAAUAUAUCGGAACGUACCCAGAAGUGGGGGAUAACGUAGCGAAAGUUACGCUAAUACCGCAUACGAUCUAUGGAUGAAAGCAGGGGACCGCAAGGCCUUGUGCUCCUGGAGCGGCCGAUAUCUGAUUAGCUAGUUGGUGAGGUAAAGGCUCACCAAGGCGACGAUCAGUAGCUGGUCUGAGAGGACGACCAGCCACACUGGAACUGAGACACGGUCCAGACUCCUACGGGAGGCAGCAGUGGGGAAUUUUGGACAAUGGGCGCAAGCCUGAUCCAGCAAUGCCGCGUGAGUGAAGAAGGCCUUCGGGUUGUAAAGCUCUUUUGUCAGGGAAGAAGCGGUAGAGGCUAAUAUCCUUUGCUAAUGACGGUACCGGAAGAAUAAGCACCGGCUAACUACGU